GCUCCUGUAGCUUAAUUGGUUAAAGCGCCCCGCUCAUAACGGGUCGAGUCGGGGUUCAAGUCCCUGCGGGAGCACCA
RNAcentral lists this transfer RNA (77 nucleotides) under bacterium. RNAcentral describes it as "tRNA-Ile". It matches the Rfam family "tRNA". Rfam says of the family: Transfer RNA (tRNA) molecules are approximately 80 nucleotides in length. Their secondary structure includes four short double-helical elements and three loops (D, anti-codon, and T loops). The record is from RNAcentral.